AUGGGCCCGCGGGCCGGGCGGGCUCGGGGCGGCCGGGACGAGGAGGGGCGACGACGAGCUGCGAGCAAAGAUGUGCCCCGGGACCCCCGGCACCUUCCAGUGGAUUUCCUUGCGGAAAGGAUGUUGGCGGUCCCUGUGACCUGUGGAGACACGGCCAGAUCUGCCCUCCAGAUUUAUUAGGAGAAAAACCUUCCCGGAAGCUGCAGAAGGACAAAUACAGAAUCCGUGUCUGGGAGAAACCUCGUGGCCUGGUCUCCAUUAUUUGAGAUGAGUUACAUCUUGGAGGUGAGGACGUGCCUCGUGGUCUAAAGCUUCGGCACAAGGGCCCAACUGGAAUUCCACUUACGGGCCUGAUCUUUUGGCCAGAAGGAGAUUAAAAAGAUGCCCCUCAAGAUGGCUGUGCCUGUCAGCUGCAUGGAGCUUCGUUCAAGUAUUUUCUGAGCCUGAUGGAUUUACAGUGAUCUUCAGUGGUCUGGGGAAUAACGCUGGUGGAACCAUGCACUGGAAUGACACACGCCCGGCACAUUUCAGGAUACUAAAAGUGGUUUUAAGGGAGGCUGUGGCUGAAUGCCUCAUGGAUUCUUACAGCUUGGAUGUCCAUGGGGGACGAAGGACUGCAGCUGGCUGAGAGGGUUGAGAUCUCUGUUUACUUAGAUCUCUGCCAACUUCCUUUGGGUCUCCCUAUGGAAUGUAAGACCCCGACUCUUCCUGGUGAAGCAUCUGAUGCACGUUCCAUCCGGCGCUCAGCUGGGCUUGAGAAUCCUGUUACACCUGGGAUUUAGGCACUUUCAAUCUGAAAAAAUACAUAUCCUUUCAGCACUCUGGACGGACUUGAGAACUGUCCUUACGUGACCUAAAGCUGGAGUAUUUUGAGAUUGGAGAAUUAAGAUGCUUAGGGCUUAUCUUGUAUAUUUCCAGCCCCAGUUAUAGAAUCAGCCAUUUCUUCAAGGAUCCCCUGUCAUUUUACUGGAGAAAGGACUUAGAAUCCAAGAUCUGGGUGCUAGAUGUGCUUGAGGUGUUGUUUCCUCCAGAUCUUCUCAACUGACAGAGCAGUGAAAUAUAUGUGUGUAGGGAGGAUGGGGAGAACAAUUUUUUUAACACAUAUGAAUACUUACCUGGCAGGGGAGAUACCAUGAUCACAAAGGUGGUUUCCCCAGGGUGAGGCUUAUCCAUUGCACUCCCGAUGUGCUGACCCCUGUGAUUCCCCCAAAUGUGGGAGACUUGACUGCAUAAUUUGUGGUAAUGGGGGACUGCAUUUACACUUUUCCCUGUAAAAAUUUUUAAAAAUAAAUAAAUACAUAAAUAAAUAAA
Molecule: long non-coding RNA, 1311 nt
Filed under: Homo sapiens (human)
Lineage: Eukaryota; Metazoa; Chordata; Mammalia; Primates; Hominidae
Description: Pvt1 oncogene
Rfam family: Pvt1 oncogene conserved region 1 (bases 1-170)
Source: RNAcentral